This 768-nucleotide ribosomal RNA is filed under the name uncultured bacterium. Its description in RNAcentral is "bacterial SSU rRNA". It matches the Rfam family "Bacterial small subunit ribosomal RNA", at positions 28 to 776 of the family's 1533-position model. The record is from RNAcentral.
GACGAACGCUGGCGGCGUGCCUAAUACAUGCAAGUCGAGCGAAGUUUUUCUGGUGCUUGCACCGGAAAAACUUAGCGGCGAACGGGUGAGUAACACGUAAAGAACCUGCCUUAUAGACUGGGACAACUAUUGGAAACGAUAGCUAAUACCGGAUAACAGCAUUAACUGCAUGGUUGAUGUUUGAAAGUUGGUUUUGCUAACACUAUGAGAUGGCUUUGCGGUGCAUUAGCUAGUUGGUGGGGUAAAGGCCUACCAAGGCGACGAUGCAUAGCCGACCUGAGAGGGUGAUCGGCCACACUGGGACUGAGACACGGCCCAGACUCCUACGGGAGGCAGCAGUAGGGAAUCUUCCGCAAUGGGCGAAAGCCUGACGGAGCAACGCCGCGUGAGUGAAGAAGGAUUUCGGUUCGUAAAGCUCUGUUGUUAGGGAAGAAUGAUUGUGUAGUAACUAUACACAGUAGAGACGGUACCUAACCAGAAAGCCACGGCUAACUACGUGCCAGCAGCCGCGGUAAUACGUAGGUGGCAAGCGUUGUCCGGAAUUAUUGGGCGUAAAGCGCGCGCAGGUGGUUUAAUAAGUCUGAUGUGAAAGCCCACGGCUCAACCGUGGAGGGUCAUUGGAAACUGUUAAACUUGAGUGCAGGAGAGAAAAGGGGAAUUCCUAGUGUAGCGGUGAAAUGCGUAGAGAUUAGGAGGAACACCAGUGGCGAAGGCGGCUUUUUGGCCUGUAACUGACACUGAGGCGCGAAAGCGUGGGGAGCAAACAGG